UUACGACCAUACCAUGUUGAAACACCAGUUCUCUUAUAAUCACCAAAAUUAAGCAAUGUCAAGCCUGGUCAGUACCUAGAUGGGUGACCACUUAGAAAUACCAGGUGCUGUAUG
Molecule: non-coding RNA, 114 nt
Organism: Acanthosepion pharaonis
Lineage: Eukaryota; Metazoa; Mollusca; Cephalopoda; Sepiida; Sepiidae
Source: the annotation of a GenBank genome assembly